RNAcentral lists this small RNA (745 nucleotides) under Pongo abelii (Sumatran orangutan). RNAcentral's name for it is "retained intron". Lineage: Eukaryota; Metazoa; Chordata; Mammalia; Primates; Hominidae. The record is from RNAcentral.
CUGGCGUGGAGCAGAGGGACACGGGUUCCCACGCUGGCGCCCGGCGACCGGGUGGGGCUGCGGCCCAGCAGCUCCAUGGAGGACACCGGCGAGGACCCCACCACGUUCGCUGCCCACUCUCUUCCCAGUGACCCCCGUCUCUUGGCCACUGUGACCAGCGCAUACCUGGGCACACGAGUGUUUCACGACACGCUGCACGUGAGCGGCGUGUACAAUGGGGCUGGCGGGGACACGCACCGGGCCAUGCUGCCCAGCCCCCUCAACGUGCGGCUGGAGGCCCCUGCAGGGAUGGGGGAGCAGCUGACCGAGACCUUUGCCCUGGACACCAACACAGGCUCCUUUCUUCACACCCUGGAGGGCCCCCGCUUCCGGGCCUCCCAGUGCAUCUAUGCGCACCGCACGCUGCCCCACGUCCUGGCUUUCCGAGUGUCCAUCGCCCGCCUGGCCCCGGGGAGCGGGCCCAUCACGCUGCUCCUGCGGUCAACCUUCUCCCCAGAAAGCCCAGACCUGGACCUGCAUCAGGGCCCUGACUUCCAGGGAGCCCGGUAAGGAGGGGGCUGGAUUUGCGGCCAGGGAGUCCAGGGAGGGAGCUCAUCCCUGAGGCAUGGCCAUACUCUCACAGGUACCUGUAUGGCCACACCCUCACCCCUGAGCAGCCCGGGGGGCCACAGCAAGAGGUACACAUGCUGUGGACACCAGCACCCCCAGACCUGACCCUUGGGGAAGGUGAGGAGGAUAGGAUGUG